RNAcentral lists this ribosomal RNA (440 nucleotides) under uncultured bacterium. Its description in RNAcentral is "partial 16S ribosomal RNA". It matches the Rfam family "Bacterial small subunit ribosomal RNA", at positions 338 to 795 of the family's 1533-position model. The record is from RNAcentral.
CCUACGGGAGGCAGCAGUGGGGGAUAUUGCACAAUGGAGGGAACUCUGAUGCAGCGACGCCGCGUGAGGGAAGAAGGUUUUCGGAUUGUAAACCUCUGUCUUCGGUGACGAAACGAUACGGUAGCCAAGGAGAAAGCCCCGGCUAACUACGUGCCAGCAGCCGCGGUAAUACGUGGGUGGCAAGCGUUUUCGGGUAUUACUGGGUGUAAAGGGAGCGGAGGGGGGAUGGCAAGUUGAAUGUUUAAGGUACGGGCUCAACAUGUACAAGCGUUCAAAACUGUUUUUCUUGAGUGGAGUAGAGGGAAGCGGAAGUCCUAGUGUAGCGGUGAAAUGCGUAAAUAUUAGGAGGAACACCAGUGGCGAAGGCGGCUUACUGGGCUUUAACUGACGCUGAGGCUCGAAAGCGUGGGGAGCAAACAGGAUUAGAUACCCUUGUAGUC